RNAcentral lists this long non-coding RNA (2229 nucleotides) under Capsicum annuum. RNAcentral's name for it is "long non-coding RNA (CANN_LNC016723)". Lineage: Eukaryota; Viridiplantae; Streptophyta; Magnoliopsida; Solanales; Solanaceae. The record is from RNAcentral.
GGUAUUAAAGCCCCAAAUAGCAAAAUUGCUCAUCCUUUUUCACAAAAUCCUCUCAAGAACAAGCUCUAGCUUCAUCAAGUUCAAGAAUCAAGCCUCAAGAACUCCCCCUCAAUCUUCACGAAAUUUACAAUCAAGGUAUGUUAGGUGUUCAUCUAUGGGUUCCUUUCACCCAUAGAGUUCAAGAAUUCAUUUUUAAAACUACAAGAUUAUUGAUUCAUGAUUUACAUGCUUGAAAUUGGAUUGAAUUCAUGUUCAUGACAUUAAUUGAGUUUCAACCCAUGAUUAAUUGUGGAUUUCAUGAAAUUGAAAUAGCAUGUAUAUUGAAUUGUAUAAUUUCCAUGUUAUAAUCCUUGAAUUAGAAAGUUUGGGUGUUAUAGUUACAAUGUUUACAUGUUGUCCAUGAUUAUAUGCAUUAAGUUGUUCUCCCCAUGUGUUGGAUGGAAUAUAUGUCCAUGUGAAUUAAAUGGUGAAAUCAUGACAUGCUAGCAUAUGUACAAGUAUAUGCCCUAUAAGUGUUUGAUAACAUGUCUCUAUGAAUAAAUUGUGAACAAGUGGACCUUGUUAUGCUUUUCAAGAUCAUAUUAUGCUUUACUUUUCAUGCUGUCGAGUCCAGGGGUAUCUAAUACCCGACAAUCUAGUUGUUUACUUAGAAUUUCAAUAGCUAUAGAAUAGUCUCAGUAAUAUCACGUACAGUAGUACUCAGUCAGUUACAGAACUCAGUGUAUUCAAGUUAGCACAAUCUGUAACAAUUUAAUCCAGCCUAGUAUAAUUUAUAAAUCAGUUUAAUAUCUAUUCAGUUGGGAGUAGGAUUCAACACCGAGUGAACCCAAAGAUGGGGACUCACCUGCCAGUGGAGGGUGAAAUCCUUAGAAGAAAUCCUUGCAUUCUAGAACUACGUAGCCAGCGUAGGUUGAGACAUCAACCUGCCAUUUAAAGGUUGAUAAGGUGUCUUACCUACUAGUUGAGGGUACCACCGUUCUCAUUCAGAGCACCUGCCAGAUGAGGGUGACUCAGCAACUUGUCUUUACCCGUGGCACGAUUGACACCCUUCCAACUGGGGUUACAGGUUGGACCCCAAUCAGUUCAGAGAGGGGCAUGUCGGCUAGAUGAUUACCUCCCACAGUUUCGAUUUCAGUCUCAGUAUAGAACUCAGUUCAGUUCUACAAUACUAGGACUGUCAGAAACAGUCACCCAACUCAGUUCUACAGCAUCAGGUCUGUCAGAAACAGACACCAAGCUAACAGUAAUACAGUUAUCAGUGAACUCAGAUACCAGUGAUUCAGUUAUUAGAACUCAAUACCCAAUGUUAAUAUGAUCUCAGUUACAGUGUACGUAGUUAUGUGUAUAGUAUUGCAUAACCAGUAUUUACAGCAGUUUCAUAUAUACAUGUACUCUCAUUCAGUUAUAUUCAUAUUACUCAGCUAGUAUUGUUCAUGAAUAUGAACCCAUGCAUUCAACCUUACCUCACUUAGCAUACCAGUACAUUCAAAGUACUGACGCAUACUUUUCUUUUGCGCUGUGAUAUCUUAUAUCAUAGGUUCAGGCGCACGGGCUCCUGACCGUACUUAGCAGCCCAGAUUAUCAGCAGCAGAUUUAGUGGUGAGUCCUCAUAGUUCGAGGACAUAGUCAUCUUUUUAGUAUUUCAGUUUAUUUUUCAGUAGUCGGAGUUAGUUGGGGACUUAUCCCAUCAACUCCAUGCUUAGACAGUUAAAGGCUUUUCCGACUAAAUUAUCUCAGAUAGAUGCUCAACUUUCAGUAUUUAUUUAUCAAUAUUUGAUUUCAGUUAUGAACCUUAUGGUAUUUCAGCCUAUUUUCCGCAUUAUUUCAGUAUUAUUGUUCAGUGCUCACAGCAGGUACCAGUCAUAGAUUAGCUUGUGGUUCUUCGGGAUCGUAAGCACCGUGUGGCUCCGGGGUACAGACUCGGGGCGCUACAAGAUGGUCCACCAAUCAUGACUUCUUGUCCAACGACCUGGUCUAUUGGAUGCCAUCGAUACAGAAGGUAUGGAGAAUACAACUAGGGGUAGGCAGGACGAUGGUAGUUGAAGCAAGAGGUGAAUGAAGACAAAUGUUUUGAGCAAAGGAAUUUAGAGUUAAAUAGUAUUAUUGGUUGGGGAGAUACUCCGAAUAAAAUGGAUUAAGGAAUUAUAGAUUCAUUCAAAGAUAAUUUAAUUUUAAUAUUGAAAUUAAAUAAAGAGUAAUGAUAUCAUUUCAACCCCAAACUUAUCCCCA